Molecule: long non-coding RNA, 304 nt
Filed under: Mytilus galloprovincialis (Mediterranean mussel)
Lineage: Eukaryota; Metazoa; Mollusca; Bivalvia; Mytilida; Mytilidae
Source: RNAcentral
GUGUGGUGUUAGUACUUUAUUAUUCUAUUUUAAAAAUUAAAGCCAAAUAGUAUCAUGACCAAUUUCCAACGGAGCUUGUUUAUGUUAUCCAUGCCCACCGUCAUUUUACAACAAAUUUUUGAAAUUUUGGAAGCCUUUUCGAAUAAUUCUCUAGAAAAUAUUUCAAUAGGUUUUAAAAUUUAUAUUGUAAAUUUACACACUGCAGUUAUUCAUAGAUAAUUAAAAAAAUAUAUUGUACCCUUACAUCCCAUCACAGCGCUCCUAAUUUGACUUCCUUCACCUGCCUUGGGUACACAAAAGGCCA